This 266-nucleotide ribosomal RNA is filed under the name uncultured bacterium. RNAcentral's name for it is "partial 16S ribosomal RNA". It matches the Rfam family "Bacterial small subunit ribosomal RNA", at positions 1235 to 1500 of the family's 1533-position model. The record is from RNAcentral.
UUUAACAAAGAGAAGCAAAGCCGCGAGGUAGAGCAAAUCUCAAAAAAACAAUCUCAGUUCAGACUGCAGGCUGCAACUCGCCUGCACGAAGUCGGAAUUGCUAGUAAUCGUAGGUCAGCAUACUACGGUGAAUACGUUCCCGGGCCUUGUACACACCGCCCGUCAAACCAUGAGAGUUGGCAACACCCGAAGUCGGUAGUCUAACCGCAAGGAGGACGCCGCCGAAGGUGGGGUUGAUGAUUAGGGUUAAGUCGUAACAAGGUACC